GAAAAUGUCUAAUGUUCCAAUACUCUUCGAUGGCACAAAAGGCUAAAUGAGCAAAUGGACAGUGGAAUAGCUCUUUAUUUUAUUCUUUAUAAAACAAUUUCACGAAAAAUUUAUUCGUAAACAACAGCCCUAUGCUCUCUAAAAUGUCAGUGUCUUAAGGACAACCACCUGUAUUUAAAAUAUUUUCCUUUAGUCAUUAUUAAUGGGUAAAUGGAGAAGUAGGAGAUUGAAGAGCUCAAGCUGUAAACAAAGCAGUGUUUGGAAAGACUUCUAAAAUAUGAUCCUCUUCAGUCUUCUAGAAAAGAACAAGGAGGGACAGUGAAGGAGGAGAAGAAGAAUGAGAGAAGACAGAGCAGGAAGAAAAGAAAGAGGAAAGAAAGGGAGAAAGAAAAGAGGUAGGGAUUUUACCCUGGCCUUCAAAUACUGGUGGUCUGGAGGAAAACGAAUGAAAUGACAGCCUAAUAUCAAGGGGGCUGGCUACUUUAAUUCAGAAUA
Canis lupus familiaris (dog) is the source of this 495-nucleotide long non-coding RNA. RefSeq lists it as uncharacterized. NCBI's taxonomy places the organism in Eukaryota, Metazoa, Chordata, Mammalia, Carnivora, Canidae. The record is from RefSeq and is a predicted model, not a curated record. The transcript has 3 exons.